AUCAUUAGUGAAUUGCUCUUUGAGCGUUAAACUAUAUCCAUCUACACCUGUGAACUGUUGAUUGACUUCGGUCAAUUACUUUUACGAACAUUGUGUAAUGAACGUCAUGUUAUUAUAACAAAAAUAACUUUCAACAACGGAUCUCUUGGCUCUCGCAUCGAUGAAGAACGCAGCGAAAUGCGAUAAGUAACGUGAAUUGCAGAAUUCAGUGAAUCAUCGAAUCCUUGAACGCAACUUGCGCUCUCUGGUAUUCCGGAGAGCAUGCCUGUUUGAGUAUCAUGAAAUCUCAACCAUUAGGGUUUCUUAAUGGCUUGGAUUUGGGCGCUGCCACUUGCCUGGCUCGCCUUAAAAGAGUUAGCGUAUUAACUUGUCAAUCUGGCGUAAUAAGUUUCGCUGGUGUAGACUUGAGAAGUGCGCUUCUAAUCGUCUUCGGACAAUUCUUGAACUCUGGUCUCAAAUCAGGUAGGACUACCCGCUGAACUUAAGCAUAUCAAUAAGCGGAGGA
This 505-nucleotide ribosomal RNA is filed under the name uncultured fungus. RNAcentral's name for it is "eukaryotic LSU rRNA". The stretch from base 126 to 279 matches the Rfam family "5.8S ribosomal RNA". The record is from RNAcentral. Lineage: Eukaryota; Fungi.